RNAcentral lists this long non-coding RNA (4487 nucleotides) under Sus scrofa (pig). Its description in RNAcentral is "lncRNA (ENSSSCG00005017917.1)". The record is from RNAcentral. Lineage: Eukaryota; Metazoa; Chordata; Mammalia; Artiodactyla; Suidae.
UUUUUCAUGAGAAUUUCUUCCUGUGUUAAGAGAGGUGUCAGUUUCCAAAUACUAGGUUGCAUGUUUGUAACGGAGCUUUGUAUUGCAUUGUGAAAACCUCUGCACCUUGGUUGGCAUGGUCACAUGUCUGUUGACAGAUGUUUCAAAGUUCUGUGGGAAAUGUGGGUUCAAUUCGACACCUUCAAGGCCCUCCGAGCCUUUUUUAACAUAGUGUGUUUCGAGAUAGGGAGCCAGCCUUGGGUGCAGCCCUAAAAACCAAAAAUAAAAUAAGAAUAAAAUAAGAUAGGGAGCCAGCUCUGGGAACAGAUCAUCGUUAUCUGUCAGCUCAAUAAAGCCAUCAAUGUUGGCAACUGGAAGAGAUGCUAACAUAUUUCAACUGGUUAAAAACAAACUGUGAGGAGUUCCCACUGUGGCGCAGUGGUUAAUGAAUCCGACUAGGAACCAUGAGGUUGAUUUGGGUUCGACCCCUGGCCUUGCUCGAUGGGUUAAAGGAUCUGACAUUGCUGUGAGCUUCAGUGUAGAUCUCCGAUGCAGCUUGUGUCUGGUGUUGCUGUGGCUGUGGCCAGUGACUGCAGCUCCUAUUUGACCCCUAGCCUGGGAACCUCCAUAUGCCUCGGGGGUGGCCCUAAAAAACAACAACAAAAGCUUGUCGAACAAAUGAAUGAAGCUGGUAGAAAGUGUUCAUAGUUCUCUGGUGGCUCAGUGGGCUAAGGAUCUGGCAUUGCCAUGGUGGCUCGGGUUUGAUCCCUGGCCCCGGGAACUGUGCAUUAAAUUCACUUUGGCUUAUUACACAGAAGGACAAAAGAAAAUUCGUUCUCUGCAGCUUGAACAACCACUGAUACCGAACGAAAUAUAAGGGCUUCGUAAAGUGUAAACCACUGGACAAAUGGAGUUAUAAUCAUAAUGUGACAUCAUGCUAGACGCAGUGUGCUUCAUAAAAAAGGACAGGACGACAUCCCUGCCCUGGUGAAUAAAUACAUCAGCCAGUUGAGAUGCUCACAGAAGACCCCUGACCAAGAGAAAAUGUUCAUUGUAGGUACACUACACUAAAUUUAUGAGACUAUUGGAGACUUUUAUACAGAGAAAGUAUUUAAGAAAGUAUUAUCAAUUUUAAGAAUAGAACUUUGAAAAUGUAUGUUGUUUUUAAAUAAUAAUACAAAAUUAGUGUUUAUCAAAAAGUAGCUCUAUAUGGAAAAAAGUGAAUGCCUUGUCAAUAAAGUUUAAUUUAGUGUAAACCAAAUGGAUCCCAUUUCUGGUUUCUCUCUGUGCACAGUGAAAUUAUCCACCUGCUGUAAGUACACAAGAGUGGCAUCUAGUGGCCACCAGCAUAAACUACAGCUCCUUGAAAGAUCAAAUCACAGACAGCCUGUCUUUUCAUCCAUUUUGCGUCUUAUCAAAUUUCCAGAUUUCAUUAUUUAUUUUUAAUGGAGACUUAUAUGGAGUUGUCCAGAUCUGGUCUUGUUGAGUUAGGAUGUUAAACAACAAUAAUAACAAAUACCACCUACUUUCUAACGACAAGAUAGAAUAUAAUCUCAGAAUAAAGGAAAGGUACUUCAAAUGGCAAAUAUUUAGCUUUAUAAAAAAUGUACCAUAUUGUCUUUUCUUUCCUCAGUAGGGAAAUGAGACCUGGAAAACUUGAUGGCCAGGUACCAGUGCACAGCCCGAUCAUUAGGAACUGCUACACAGUUGACAAAUUCUUUCUAUAGCAUCCUCUGCUUAGUACUCCCAGCAGUGGGAGAGGUGCCCCCUCCCACUACCUCUGUCCAGCCUGGCUAGGUAGGAGGUUUCUCUUCAAGUGAGAGUAAAAUACACAGCCUCUACCCAGGGUUCUUGAUUUUGGCCUGGGGUGGGUGUCUCCAAGAAAAGUCUAAACCCUUUGUUAUUUUGAUGUGUGAAAGCAGCUCUCAAAUCCCCAGUGCAAACCUCCUUGAAAUCUCUUCCCUAAACUGAAUCCCCGUUUUCCUUCAACCAGUAUUUACUCUCAGCUGGCAGAGCAAUAAAGUACAUUUUAUGCCUUCCAGUCAUAAAAUGUCUGAUUGCUACAAAGUUAAGAUUAUAGACAUGCAGGAAAAUAUCCCGUGAAAGAUUAGAAAUCUGAAAACUUCCCUAGGCUAACCAACCUAGAGCAUUACAGAGGUUUAUGAUUCAACUGCAUGGCAGACAGGCAGCAGGCACCUCAGGGCUGGAGUCUCUUAUAUUACAAAUUAUCUCACUUGUAGCUCUAGGUCAAAUCUCCUCCCCCACGCCUCCUGACUCAAUGAAUAAUGCUGAGCCCUUUCAAUGAUCACACUCCAUUACUGAUUUAAGUUUCUUGUUCUUGGGGUGUGCUUUCAACUGAAACAGAUGGAUUAGUGUGCCUGCCCUUUAAUUCGUUUUAGCUUUGAGUAAUUAAAAGGAAAAAAAACCACACAACACGAAUUAUCAACAGUGGUGAAUAAGACGAUUUGUUCCUCUUUGGUGUGAAAACCUGAGAGUAGGCAUUCUAGGGCUGGUAGGAUGUUCCAGACAAUGCUAGGAACCUAGGCUCCUUCUGUCUUGUUCCACCAUGCAUGGUUUCCACUCUCUAGGUCACUCUAUGGCCCAAUAAGACUUCUGUUGCUCCAGCCAUUACAUCCACAUUCUGGCCAGAUGAAAGGAGGAAAAGCAAAGAAUAGUAUUCGCUCCCUAUUUAAGGACAGUUCCCAGACAUUACACCCACUUUUUUUGUUUGUUUUGUUUUGUUUUGGGUUUGUUUGUUUUGUCUAGCACUGCACCUGCAGCAUAAGGAGGUUUCCAGGCUAAGGGCCAAAUCAGAGCUACAGCUGCCAGCCUACGUCACAGCCACAACCUCACAGGAUCCGAGCCACAUCUGGGACCUACACCAUAGCUCACAGCAAUGCCAGAUCCUUAACUCACUGAUGGAGGCCAGGGAUAGAACCUGCAGCCUCAUGGUUACUACUCAGAUUCCUUUCCACUGCUCCGCAAUGGAAACUCCUCCAUCCACCCCACCCCACCCCACUUUUACUGGCCAUUCCUAGCUCUAAGGAAGGCUGCGUUGUAAUUGUUCUGAUAAUAAGUGAAAGGGAAACCAUGAUUGGAACAACCAGUUUUGUUGACAACUAGCUUGUGACACAUGUACAAGAUCAGAUACAGAUCAAAUGAGCACUAAUCUAUCCUGGUGGUCAGACUCUUGGAAAACCACUAAAUACCAAAUUGUGUAGGACUCCACAUCUCAAAUUUCCUAAAACAAGAUCAACGACUAUUACCAGUGGGCAAAAUUGGGACCAACGAGAACAUACCCAAUAGAAUCACGACUGUCCAAGCAAAAGGGUUGUUUUAACUCAGAUCAGUGUUUCUCUGCAGGAGUUCUUUCCCAGCAUUUCUCAGAAAUAUUACGUUUUUACAGAGCCCGAAUCUUAAUAAACGUUGAGGAAUCUAGAAACCUGGGAAAACUAAUCUGUGAGAAUUAAAACUUAAUGAUCAACAUAGAGCUGUCACUUGUUCAAAGAAAUCCACCAAUCCCAAAUCAAAAGUGACACUAGAACACACUAAAGCAUGUAUUGGAAAAAUCAAGGUUGACAGGUGCUGAAUGGAAGGGAGCAGGAAGGAGAGAAGCAGUCACAAUACAAUCAGCGGUGCCUGUACCCGUUGCCACCUUCUAAGCAGAGUGUCCUGGGGCUGGCUCACACAAGAGAUAGAGAGCCAGCCAGAAAGAGCAUCUCUUUCUGACCCUCGGUGACAUCACACCAGUAACUUGAAAUUGACCCAAGUGGGAAUAUUUAUACCUCCUCUCUCGGAAAUUGGCAAAAACUACAUGUCACAACGGUUUUUUUCUUCCCAGAGAGUCAGUGUACCAGUACUCACUGGUCCUAAGUGUGUGCUUGUGGCUUGGUCUCUUUCUAACGGUAAGUCACUUUUACAAAUAAAAUAAAUCUAGGUUCAUACACAUAAGGUACUUAUACGUAUCCUAUGAGUGGUGUCAGAAAACAUCGCAAACUUUGGAAGCAAAAUAAGACCUAAUAUUGGCAAUUUCAAUGCCUAAGUCUGUGUAGUGCUAGGACACUUGCUAGUGGGUCUGAACAUUAAUGUUAUUUGAAAACUUCCCAAUAAUGAAGGCUGACAUUUCCGAGGGUCUGAGUACUCACCAUAGGAUGCAGUUCUUUGUAAAUACUUCACAGAAGAGAUGUGAAAAGAAAAAGAUGUGAUUUGUUGUAGAACACUGCAACAUUGAAAUCAGAGACUCUUCUAAAAUCUGGCCAGAGCAACUUUUUUUUUUUUUUUUUUUUUUUUUUUUUUUUUGGAAACCCAAGGGCUGGAUUUAUUUGCCACUAUUCAUUUUCUUUUUUAUUUUAUUUUUUUAUCUUUUGGACUUUUUAGGGCUGUACAUGCAGCAUAUGGAAGUUCCCAGGCUAGGGGUCAAAUCAGAGCUGUAGCCUCUAACCUACACCACAGCCACAGUAAUGCCAGAUCCUUAACCCACUGAGCGAGGCCAGGGAUCGAACCCAUGU